GUUUUGGUUUAUAUAGUUUACAACGAUAAUUCUUAAUUUUCUUAAUAUUACUUAAAUUAUACCCAUUGUCACAAUUUUUUUUAUCAUGAGUAAUUAAGUACAUGAGUUUACAAUUACAGUGGACAAUGAAAAGUUAAGGAAAGAAAAUUUAUUAUCAAACUCUUAAUAUGACACUCCUAUUAUGCCAAGUAGCGUUAAUAUAAAAAAUCACAUGGCAUAAUGGCAUGAACGUAUUUUGGUGUUCCUUUUAUUAUAUUUAUCACAUAGAGUAAUUCAAAGGUAAAUCAUGGAUGAUGGUCUACGACUAGUUUGUUAACCAAUAAUCCCCCACAUAUGCUAGGGCAUUUUAUGUGCUUUAAACCACCAACUACGUUAGUUUUUUAUUAUUAAUAAAAAAUUAUCUUGUCCUACAAGAAAAUAAUGCUAUGGCAAUGCUAUCACAAUAUAUCUAUGAUUCAAAAUCAGAGCAUUAUUAUCAUAUAAAAUGAAAGUAUUUGUUUUGGCCAUUUGGGGAAAGUUUGUGGACCAAUAUUCACACUCAAAAUGAUAAUAUCAACAAUCCCAUAAACUAGUCAAUGAAAUAAAUUCACAUAGCCAUGAAUUUCGCAUACAUAUUUUCUAGCUGCUAGAAAGGAGUAAGGUUCUCAAAUGUAAAAUAUACAUUUAUCUAAAUAU
RNAcentral lists this unclassified non-coding RNA (675 nucleotides) under Hevea brasiliensis (rubber tree). Lineage: Eukaryota; Viridiplantae; Streptophyta; Magnoliopsida; Malpighiales; Euphorbiaceae. The record is from RNAcentral.